UUACCAGGUCUUGACAUCCUCUGACAACCCUAGAGAUAGGGCUUUCCCUUCGGGGACAGAGUGACAGGUGGUGCAUGGUUGUCGUCAGCUCGUGUCGUGAGAUGUUGGGUUAAGUCCCGCAACGAGCGCAACCCUUGAUCUUAGUUGCCAGCAUUCAGUUGGGCACUCUAAGGUGACUGCCGGUGACAAACCGGAGGAAGGUGGGGAUGACGUCAAAUCAUCAUGCCCCUUAUGACCUGGGCUACACACGUGCUACAAUGGACAGAACAAAGGGCUGCGAGACCGCAAGGUUUAGCCAAUCCCACAAAUCUGUUCUCAGUUCGGAUCGCAGUCUGCAACUCGACUGCGUGAAGCUGGAAUCGCUAGUAAUCGCGGAUCAGCAUGCCGCGGUGAAUACGUUCCCGGGCCUUGUACACACCGCCCGUCACACCACGAGAGUUUGCAACACCCGAAGUCGGUGAGGUAACCUUUAUGGAGCCAGCCGCCGAAGGUGGGGCAGAUGAUUGGGGUGAAGUCGUAACAAGGUAGCCGUAUCGGAAGGUGCGGCUGGAUCACCUCCUUAAGGGCGAAUUCCACAUUGGGC
This 583-nucleotide ribosomal RNA is filed under the name uncultured bacterium. Its description in RNAcentral is "bacterial SSU rRNA". It matches the Rfam family "Bacterial small subunit ribosomal RNA", at positions 971 to 1533 of the family's 1533-position model. The record is from RNAcentral.